Molecule: ribosomal RNA, 483 nt
Filed under: uncultured bacterium
Lineage: Bacteria
Description: partial 16S ribosomal RNA
Rfam family: Bacterial small subunit ribosomal RNA
Source: RNAcentral
GACGAACGCUGGCGGCGUGCUUAACACAUGCAAGUCGAACGCUGAAGCUCAGCUUUUGUUGGGUGGAUGAGUGGCGAACGGGUGAGUAACACGUGAGUAACCUGCCCCCUUCUUUGGGAUAACGCCCGGAAACGGGUGCUAAUACUGGAUAUUCACUGGUCUUCGCAUGGGGGUUGGUGGAAAGGGUUUUUCUGGUGGGGGAUGGGCUCGCGGCCUAUCAGCUUGUUGGUGGGGUGAUGGCCUACCAAGGCUUUGACGGGUAGCCGGCCUGAGAGGGUGACCGGUCACAUUGGGACUGAGAUACGGCCCAGACUCCUACGGGAGGCAGCAGUGGGGAAUAUUGCACAAUGGGCGCAAGCCUGAUGCAGCGACGCCGCGUGAGGGAUGGUGGCCUCCGGGUUGUGAACCUCUUUCGCUCAUGGUCAAGCCGCAACAAUGGUUGUGGUGAGGGUAGUGGGUAAAGAAGCGCCGGCUAACUACGUG